CAGGUUAGAGCUUGUCAUUAGUAUUUUAUUUACAUUAAAAUGGAAAUUGUUGAAAUCAAUUUAACUUGA
Molecule: transfer RNA, 69 nt
Filed under: Hycleus scutellatus
Lineage: Eukaryota; Metazoa; Arthropoda; Insecta; Coleoptera; Meloidae
Description: tRNA-Val
Source: RNAcentral